GCCGGUGUAGCUCAGUUGGUAGAGCAGCGCAUUCGUAAUGCGAAGGUCGGGGGUUCGACUCCUCUCUCCGGCA
Non-coding RNA from Burkholderiales bacterium 66-5, 73 nucleotides. Lineage: Bacteria; Pseudomonadati; Pseudomonadota; Betaproteobacteria; Burkholderiales. The record is from Rfam.